RNAcentral lists this ribosomal RNA (292 nucleotides) under uncultured bacterium. RNAcentral describes it as "partial 16S ribosomal RNA". It matches the Rfam family "Bacterial small subunit ribosomal RNA", at positions 505 to 796 of the family's 1533-position model. The record is from RNAcentral.
UUGCCAGCAGCCGCGGUAAUACGUAGGGGGCAAGCGUUGUCCGGAAUCAUUGGGCGUAAAGCGCGUGUAGGCGGUUCGGUAAGUCUGCUGUGAAAGUCGGGGGCUCAACCCUCGAAUGCCGGUGGAUACUGUCGGACUAGAGUGCGGAAGAGGCGAGUGGAAUUCCUGGUGUAGCGGUGAAAUGCGCAGAUAUCAGGAGGAACACCAAUUGCGAAGGCAGCUCGCUGGGACGUUACUGACGCUGAGACGCGAAAGCGUGGGGAGCAAACAGGAUUAGAUACCCUAGUAGUCC